Molecule: ribosomal RNA, 604 nt
Filed under: uncultured bacterium
Lineage: Bacteria
Description: bacterial SSU rRNA
Rfam family: Bacterial small subunit ribosomal RNA
Source: RNAcentral
CAAAGGUGAGCCAGUACAGGAUGGACCCGCGUCUGAUUAGCUAGUUGGUAAGGUAACGGCUUACCAAGGCGACGAUCAGUAGCCGACCUGAGAGGGUGAUCGGCCACAUUGGAACUGAGACACGGUCCAAACUCCUACGGGAGGCAGCAGUGGGGAAUAUUGCACAAUGGGCGAAAGCCUGAUGCAGCAACGCCGCGUGAGUGAUGAAGGCCUUCGGGUCGUAAAACUCUGUCCUCAAGGAAGAUAAUGACGGUACUUGAGGAGGAAGCCCCGGCUAACUACGUGCCAGCAGCCGCGGUAAUACGUAGGGGGCUAGCGUUAUCCGGAUUUACUGGGCGUAAAGGGUGCGUAGGCGGUCUUUCAAGUCAGGAGUGAAAGGCUACGGCUCAACCGUAGUAAGCUCUUGAAACUGGGAGACUUGAGUGCAGGAGAGGAGAGUGGAAUUCCUAGUGUAGCGGUGAAAUGCGUAGAUAUUAGGAGGAACACCAGUUGCGAAGGCGGCUCUCUGGACUGUAACUGACGCUGAGGCACGAAAGCGUGGGGAGCAAACAGGAUUAGGUACCCUGGUAGUCCACGCUGUAAACGAUGAGUACUAGGUGUCGGG